Molecule: long non-coding RNA, 2394 nt
Organism: Oncorhynchus mykiss (rainbow trout)
Lineage: Eukaryota; Metazoa; Chordata; Actinopteri; Salmoniformes; Salmonidae
Source: Ensembl
AUGGCCGCCUCGCUUCGCGUUCCUAGGAAACUAUGCAGUUUUUUGUUUUUUUACGUGUUAUUUCUUACAUUAGUACCCCAGGUCAUCUUAGGUUUCAUUACAUACAGUCGAGAAGAACUACUGAAUAUAAGAUCAGCGUCAACUCACCAUCAGUACGACCAAGAAUAUGUUUUUCGCGACGCGGAUCCUGUGUUCUGCCUUACAAACAGGACAACGAAGUGGAUCCCAUGCAGCGACCCAAAAAAACGACUCCGAAAAAGAGGGAAACGAGGCGGUCUUCUGGUCAAACUCCGGAGACGGGCACACCGUGCACCACUCCCUAGCAUUCUUCUUGCCAAUGUUCAGUCUCUUGACAACAAGGUUGAUGAAAUCCGAGCAAGGGUAGCAUUCCAGAGGGACAUCAGAGACUGUAACGUUCUUUGCUUCACGGAAACGUGGCUCAAUGGAGAGACGCUAUCCGAGGCGGUGCAGCCAACGGGUUUCUCCAUGCAUCGCGCAGACAGAAACAAACAUCUUUCUGGUAAGAAGAGGGGCGGGGGCGUAUGCCUUAUGACUAACGUGACAUGGUGUGAUGAAAGAAACAUACAGGAACUCAAAUCCUUCUGUUCACCUGAUUUAGAAUUCCUCACAAUCAAAUGUAGACCGCAUUAUCUACCAAGAGAAUUCUCUUCGAUUAUAAUCACAGCCGUAUAUAUCCCCCCCCAAGCAGACACAUUGAUGGCUCUGAAUGAACUUUAUUUGACUCUUUGCAAACUGGAAAACAUUUAUCCGGAGGAUGCAUUCAUUGUAGCUGGGGAUUUUAACAAGGCUAAUCUGAAAACAAGACUCCCUAAAUUUUAUCAGCAUAUCGAUUGCGCAACCAGGGGUGGAAAGACCUUGGAUCAUUGUUACUCUAACUUCCGCGACGCAUAUAAGGCCCUGCCCCGCCCCCCUUUCGGAAAAGCUGACCACGACUCCAUUUUGUUGAUCCCUGCCUACAGACAGAAACUAAAACAAGAGGAUCCCACGCUGAGGUCUGUCCAACGCUGGUCCGACCAAGCUGACUCCACACUCCAAGACUGCUUCCAUCACGUGGACUGGGACAUGUUUCGUAUUGCAUCAGACAACAACAUUGACGAAUACGCUGAUUCGGUGUGCGAGUUCAUUAGAACGUGCGUUGAAGAUGUCGUUCCCAUAGCAACGAUUAAAACAUUCCCUAACCAGAAACCGUGGAUUGAUGGCAGCAUUCGCGUGAAACUGAAAGCGCGAACCACUGCUUUUAAUCAGGGCAAGGUGUCUGGUAACAUGACCGAAUACAAACAGUGCAGCUAUUCCCUCCGCAAGGCUAUCAAACAAGCUAAGCGUCAGUACAGAGACAAAGUAGAAUCUCAAUUCAACGGCUCAGACACAAGAGGCAUGUGGCAGGGUCUACAGUCAAUCACGGACUACAGGAAGAAAUCCAGCCCAGUCACGGACCAGGAUGUCCUGCUCCCAGGCAGACUAAAUAACUUUUUUGCCCGCUUUGAGGACAAUACAGUGCCACCGACACGGCCUGCAACGAAAACAUGUGGUCUCUCCUUCACUGCAGCCGAGGUGAGUAAGACAUUUAAACGUGUUAACCCUCGCAAGGCUGCAGGCCCAGACGGCAUCCCCAGCCGCGCCCUCAGAGCAUGCGCAGACCAGCUGGCCGGUGUGUUUACGGACAUAUUCAAUCAAUCCCUAUACCAGUCUGCUGUUCCCACAUGCUUCAAGAGGGCCACCAUUGUUCCUGUUCCCAAGAAAGCUAAGGUAACUGAGCUAAACGACUACCGCCCCGUAGCACUCACUUCCGUCAUCAUGAAGUGCUUUGAGAGACUAGUCAAGGACCAUAUCACCUCCACCCUACCUGACACCCUAGACCCACUCCAAUUUGCUUACCGCCCAAAUAGGUCCACAGACGAUGCAAUCUCAACCACACUGCACACUGCCCUAACCCAUCUGGACAAGAGGAAUACCUAUGUGAGAAUGCUGUUCAUUGACUACAGCUCAGCAUUCAACACCAUAGUACCCUCCAAGCUUCGUCAUCAAGCUCGAGACCCUGGGUCUCGACCCCGCCCUGUGCAACUGGGUACUGGACUUCCUGACGGGCCGCCCCCAGGUGGUGAGGGUAGGCAACAACAUCUCCUCCCCGCUGAUCCUCAACACUGGGGCCCCACAAGGGUGCGUUCUGAGCCCUCUCCUGUACUCCCUGUUCACCCACGACUGCGUGGCCACGCACGGCUCCAACUCAAUCAUCAAGUUUGCGGACGACACAACAGUGGUAGGCUUAAUUACCAACAACGACGAGACGGCCUACAGGGAGGAGGUGAGGGCCCUCGGAGAAGUGGUGUCAGGAAAAUAACCUCACACUCAACGUCAACAAAACUAAGGAGAUGA